Molecule: long non-coding RNA, 1153 nt
Organism: Mangifera indica (mango)
Lineage: Eukaryota; Viridiplantae; Streptophyta; Magnoliopsida; Sapindales; Anacardiaceae
Exons: 2
Source: RefSeq, a predicted model, not a curated record
GACUGCUCAAGCCCUAAGCCCAAUAAGGCCCAUUAUAUAUUAAGGCUACACCUAUUCCUAGUAUAAGAUAUAACUAAUACGCCAAGCAUAGGAUUGUUUUACUCUGUUUUCCUAACAAUUCAUUUGUACAUUCUACCUAAAUUAAUUCAACCCUUAUCCGUAUCCAUUUAACAUUCAAUUCCCAAUCUGCUGGCCAGCCACUCCUAAGUGUCCCUUGUUCGUCGACGCUGAACGUUUUGAAGAAACUGAGCUGCGCUUGGGGCUAGCGGGAGGUGGCCGGCGGUAGUGGUGGCAAAAGUGAGAUGGCCAAGAGCAGUGGAAAUAGAGGCUUUUGGGAGACGGAGGUUGAUUUGAAGCUUAAUUUGUUAACGACAGAGUCGUCGUAGUCGGUCGUGAUUGAUGUUGAUGUUAUGGAGAAGAUGAAGGAGAAGACUAAUGUUUUAAAGCCACCGGCCAAGAUGAGGAGAAUGCAUUACUGGAGCAGGCUUUUGCUAUGUCCAUGAAUAUUCUUGGAUCUGAUGUUUCUGCUGUUGAUGCUGAUAAGUUAGAUGCAACUAAUGAAGACAAGGGAGUUGGCAUUGGGUAGGCUAAUAUAUGCUUAAUGGCUUACUUCAGGAAUUGACUAAUUUUCACCUGAAUCUCAAAACGCUUUCUACAGUUAACAGAGGCAUUUAAAGCGGCAUCCCGAUUGGCAAUUGCCACUCCACCUCCUGCUUAUGUAUUGAGCCAUGGUUUGGAUGGCAGGUGAGUGAUUUGAUGCACUUAUAAUAGCACCAUCCUAGUAUGUUUAAUUCAUUUUUAAUUGACUUUGAAUAUAUUAUUUUUAGCUGUUAUUUGACUAACUGGGUUGCGAGAAUUAGUUCACUUCUAAGUGCUUCAAGUGUACGAAACAAUGAAAGGUAACAUUGUUAUUUUCUUUAAAAUUUAGCACCACCUAUCUUAUACAAUAAUUUUGAUAAACUUGUUUGGUGAUUAUUUAUGCACUUCAUCAUGAAUUUUUUCCAAUUGCAUUUUAACUUGUAUUUAUUAAUGGAAAGUUGUAGUGUAAUUGUAAUUUUUUUCAAUUUUGUUAGUUGUUGCAAUGAAAUUUGACUACAAUAAAUCAUGUGUACGAAUUGCUAGUUUAGAUAUAAGGUGUGUUAUAGUUUUUAUA